CUACCAUGGCAGUCACGGGUAACGGAGAAUUAGGGUUCGAUUCCGGAGAGGGAGCCUGAGAAACGGCUACCACAUCUACGGAAGGCAGCAGGCGCGCAAAUUGCCCAAUCCCGACACGGGGAGGCAGUGACAAGAAAUAACAACUCUAGGUUUUCUUAGAAGUGUAAUGAGGAUAAUUUACAAACCUUACCAAAUGCAAUUGGAGGGCAAGUCUGGUGCCAGCAGCCGCGGUAAUUCCAGCUCCAAUAGCGUAUAUUAAAGUUGUUGCAGUUAAAAAGCUCGUAGUUGAAAAUCUGAUUGCUCAGGUCUCCAGCCUUUAGGCGGGGAUUCUGACAGUCAUCCGCUUGCAAACAUAUGUUCGAUCUUCACCGGUUGGCUAUGUGAGUAAGCACUUUACCUUGAGAAAAACAGAGUGUUCCAGGCAGGUUUGUCCGGAAUGCAUUAGCAUGGAAUAAUAGGACAUGACUGAAGUCUAUUUAUUGGUUAAAGGCUUUAGUAAUGAUUAAUAGGAACAGUCGGGGGCAUUCGUACUCAGCAGUCAGAGGUGAAAUUCUAAGAUUUGCUGAAGACGAACUAAUGCGAAAGCAUUUGCCAAGGAUGUUUUCAUUAAUCAAGAACGAAAGUUAGGGGAUC
This 633-nucleotide ribosomal RNA is filed under the name uncultured eukaryote. RNAcentral's name for it is "SSU rRNA". It matches the Rfam family "Eukaryotic small subunit ribosomal RNA", at positions 341 to 999 of the family's 1831-position model. The record is from RNAcentral.